CAAGACGAUAACCACAAGUGGUUCUGUUCUGUUUAACGAAAAAUGAAGAGUUUUAUAAAAAAUGGAUAAUUCACCGCGAAUUGUUUAUGUGUGCAGCCUGUGCCUGCGCCAAUAUGAUCUCCAGGAGGAUCUCCGGGGACAUUUGGUGUACUUCCAUGGCUACGAGCCCAUUUCGGUGCCCAACGGCAAACGAAAAGCAGCAAAGACUUCCAUCAAACAACAAACUCCAGCCGGCAGGAAUGGCCAGGAUAAACAAACCAUGGAUCAGGAAUUGGAGGACUCCAAGCCAACGCCAAGUGAGAUGCAGCCCAUGCCCUUUAAGGAUUUUCGACUGGUCUUGAGGGCCAAUAUGCUAGAACCGUGCUCCUUCGGCAGAGAGUGUUCCUUCAAGUUCCAGGAUGCUGGCAAGAUGGAGCUGCACUCAAGUUGCCACAAGGGCGGCAAUUUCUCCUGCUGCGAAUGCGGUAUAGAGCUGCCCAACUGGCGGCGAUGCUCGGCUCAUCUGUGGAAAGCCCACCAGGUGGACGUGGAUCUACUGGAGUGUCCCGCCGUCGAUUGCCAGUACAAGUCACCAACUUCCGCCCUGGUGUGGCGACACAUGCAGGUCCACAAAAAGUGGCGACCGCGGGUACUGCGCUCGUUGGCCGCCGUUCAGCGGAGGAGAAAACUCAAGGAGCAGGCCGGGGAGAUUGCCCCACAACCAGCAGCUCCUCCUCCCGCCUCCAAAAAGAACAAAUACUAUGCGGAGAAGACCUGUGAGAUUUGCCAACGCAACUUCGUCAAUGGCAAAACUCUCUCCAAGCAUAUCAAAACGGUGCACAACAAAAUCAAGCCAUUUAUCUGCAAUGUGUGUGGCAAGAAGACGGCGCGCAAGGCUAGUUUGAUAAUCCACAUGCGUCAGCACACAGGCGAGAAGCCCCUGCAGUGCGGCGAGUGCAAGUUUUCCACUCGCGAUCCCAGUGUCCUGCACAAACACCGCCAGCGACACGAUAGCCAGGACAAGAGCAGUCUAAAGUGCAGCCAAUGCGAUUACUACUGCAUCCAGGCCAAUGCCCUAAAGCGUCACAUGCGCCUCAAUCAUGCCGAAGCUUAUAAAGACUUAUGCUGUGAUCUCUGUAGCUUUACUUCCAUAAAUGCCGAGCGGUUGCAAGCCCACAAGCAGGAUCAUCGGCAGGGCUUGAUCACGAACUGCGAGGACUCCAUGGAUGCCUCGCGUGCCGCUGGUUUUAAGUAUCCUCGCAAGCUUGGCGACAAGAACGGAGAGAUAUCAGCUGACUGUUUUAUGCCACUGGAGAGCGUGGAUUCAUUGCCUCAUGAACCAGCUGUCGAUACAGGUGGCGUAACCAUACCAGCUCCACCUUCCGAGGACACUCAAUUCCCCACAUACUUAAAGGAUUAAUAUUAUAGAACGUGAAAUUACUCGAUCGAUCUUUUAUUUCAUGGAUUUAUAUUUGUUGAAUGUGGGCAUGUCCAAUGCGCUGUAAAGAGUUUUGUAUAAAAUAAUGUUCUCAUGCAGUUUGUUUGGGGAUUUAAAUGCUUGUUUAUUAAGUUGUUCAGUUUUUCCAUUUAAUUUUAAUAUCAUUUUAGAAUCUGAUAUGAUUUUUUUGCAACAUUCGAAUUAUUUAGUCAUGCUGGUUUACCACGUUCCGAUUUAUUUAUCAGUUAGGUUUUUCUUUAAACUAAUUUAAAAUUUAAAAAUCUACUCUGCUGGCGGCAAUCAUCCGGUUUCAGUUCGGUUUCAAGAUCAGCGCUCUUUAAUCUAGGUUACGACAGAAAUGUUCUCAAUUUUAUUCAUUUGGGCAGUUUCGCUAAUAACUUGUUAAGUUGUUUAAUAUUUAAUUUGAUUUCAUUAGUUUAGUAGUUGAGCUUUACGUUUGGUUUAAUAUAACUAUUUACUUUACGCUUGAAUGCAAUCAGCUGCCGGAGAUCGCAGAUCAAGUGAUCUGGCGGUUCCUAAAAAUUAUGCACCUCCUGUUCGCUAUAGUAUUGGAAAUAAGUUACCACCGUGUUACAAAAGAAUAGAUUUUAACGUUUAUUGUCUGAGUUUGAUUCGAAUAUCAAAACAUGUUCACUAUUUGAGAGUGCAACUGAGUAGUAGUACAUGAUAAUGGAAAAUAAAACGCUCAAUGUAAAAUUGUUAAUAUCA
RNA transcript from Drosophila suzukii, 2146 nucleotides. It is a transcript of the gene named zinc finger protein 672, with no coding region annotated. NCBI's taxonomy places the organism in Eukaryota, Metazoa, Arthropoda, Insecta, Diptera, Drosophilidae. The record is from RefSeq and is a predicted model, not a curated record.